GAAUAGUCUAACGAUUUACAGUCAUGGUACUCUAUUGUUAUAAUAUGUCUUUUUGACUGAAUACAUGUUUGUUUUAUUUGUCUAUAUCUUAGAUUCGCAGCUGGACACAUCCUUCUACACUGUAUGCAAACAUGCAACAUCAUAACACACAGUACAAGGAGUCAGACUGGCAUAUGAGGAGCAAAGGAACCCACGCAGUAGCAUCGUUUCACAAUGUUUCCAUCACCAUCAUCAGUGGAUGCCUUUGCCGUCCGUAGCCUGAGAUUUCAGAUUUGCAGCAAAAAAAAUUGAUUUUCUCAUUUAUUGGAAUGCUAUGCAGGUUGUACCUUGCAGCCAUCCAUUACAAUGUCACCAAGCCGUAACAAAAGCAGGAGAGGGAAAGUACAAGGCUAUGUUCCCAAAACACACAAAUGACAUACCGUA
Non-coding RNA from Paramisgurnus dabryanus, 423 nucleotides. NCBI's taxonomy places the organism in Eukaryota, Metazoa, Chordata, Actinopteri, Cypriniformes, Cobitidae. The record is from RefSeq and is a predicted model, not a curated record.